RNAcentral lists this non-coding RNA (29 nucleotides) under Mus musculus (house mouse). The record is from RNAcentral. Lineage: Eukaryota; Metazoa; Chordata; Mammalia; Rodentia; Muridae.
UAAGCAUUGGCUUGGUGCUUCUAAUGGAU